RNAcentral lists this long non-coding RNA (6640 nucleotides) under Arabidopsis thaliana (thale cress). RNAcentral's name for it is "long non-coding RNA (ATHA_LNC000689)". The record is from RNAcentral. Lineage: Eukaryota; Viridiplantae; Streptophyta; Magnoliopsida; Brassicales; Brassicaceae.
UGAGUUUAUCAUAUGGAACAAGUGUAGCCCGGAGGUGGAUUUUUGCCACAGGUAAGGAGAAGCUGAAGAGCAACAGGGACAUAAAGAUUGAGGUCAAGAGCUUUGAGCUUGAGGGUAGUGCAGAGACAAGCCGCGGCUUCGACUUCAACGAGGCCUUUAAGUAACGGACAACAUUUGUUAACUGCUGGAUCCCCAAGCCCUAUCUUUACUAAACCUCCCAACAAGUCGACGCAAGCACCUAACUUCAGCGUGUCUAUUGGACAUGUCGCCUUCCCGCCCCCUGAUGGUGGCUUUACGCUCCCUGGCGGUGGAGGACAGUCCUUCCCUCCUGUGGCUGGUGGGGUUGUUCCCGGUGGAAGAAUAGGACCUACAAUUGGCAAAGGCGGCAAUGGCAGAUUGGGACCUACCACUGGAGGUAUGGGUAGCCCUGAAAUCGGAGGAAGGGGUAGCUUAGGGACGGUCACUGGAGGAACGGGUAGCUUAGGUACAGUUACCGGGGGAACGGGUAGCUUAGGGACUGUCACUGGAGGAACGGGUAGCUUGGGGACGGUCACUGGAGGAACGGGUAGCUUGGGGACGGUCACAGGAGGAACGGGUAGCUUAGGUACAGUCACUGGUGGAACGGGUAGCUUAGGGAUGGUCACAGGAGGAACGGGUAGCUUAGGGACGGUCACCGGAGGGACUGGUAGCUUAGGGACGGUCACCGGAGGAACUGGUAGCUUAGGGACGGUCACCGGAGGAACUGGUAGCUUAGGGGCUUUAGGGGAGUGCUUUCCGCCCUUCCGUGGGUUGCAAGAGCCGCAUGCGAGAGAAUGUUGGGGGAGAUAGAUAAUGCAAAUGAGGAAGAGGCAAAGAGAGAGAGAUGAGAGUUUGGAGGAGUCCAUGUUGAGUAGAGUGGAUGGUGUAACUAUACGAAAGAGUAUAUGAAUAUAUAGAGGGAAAAUGAGAAGAAGAAUUCACGUGAAGAUGGGGGCUACUUCUGCAAUAAGAAGAGACGCCCCAAAAUAAGCAUGGUUGGCAAUUAUCAUAAGAAUACAAGAUUUCCUUGAUGACCCAUCGCUAUAUAUCAUCACAUGUCGACCACACUUUUUUCACUUUUUUUUUUCUAAGUGCCUCUUGUUCUUGGGUUAACUACAACUUUUAACAACGUGUAACUUCAGUUUCAACAGUACAGUACAUUUAACUUGUAGGAAUUGUAAUGAAUCAACUUAGCGAGACUAGGUCAUUAUGAGAUAUCAUCAAUACUAAAUAACAUUUUGAUGAUGUAAACACUCUAGGAAAAGCAGAUAAUAUAGUAUCAUAUGGUUUUCGCUUUAGUGUGUGGCUUCAUAAGCAUCUCCAUGCAUGAGUCGACUGCUAAGGAACAUAUAGAUCUGCACCAUAGUGAAGACGGCUUAGUCUAUUCAAAACACUAAUGUUGUGCCUUUCGAGGACCUCCCGAGACUCGAAUUCGAAUGCACUCUCCAAAGGUAUUAUGUUAGGGAAAAAACCUUAUUAAACCAAAUAUGUUACUGUUUAACCCAUACACGAAAAUUAGAUAUAUAAAUGUUGAACAAAUAGCAUAUAGUUAUAUCCAAUAUAUACGUACAUGAGAGGUAAAGAAGACAGCAAGACUGACAUGUGAAAUUCGGGAUACACUUUUGUUGUUUGGUGAUUUUGUUACGUAGUGUCAUUAAAGAAACGAUCAUGUGUGCGUGGACCAUCUUCUUCUUUUUACCGCUCAUUUCCCUUUUUACCAUAUCUACUACAAAAGAGUCCGAACUGACCAUUUAAUGAACGAGUACCAUUCAAUUCAUAAACUCCCCGUAUCAAUCUAACUGACACUGUAAAAGUUAUAAUGUUAAUAUAUAAAAAUAAUAUGGUUAUUUAGCAUGAAUAAUAACUUUUUAUAAUUGAGAGUAUGUCUAGCUAACAUUGGUGAUUGGUGCUUACAUAAAUCAUAUUUUUCAAACCACUUAACAAGAACUUUACAUAUUCAAUGAUAAACGAAUCACAUUUAUACAAUAUACCAUUCAAAAAUAAUAUUGUAAGAUGAUUUGAAAUUAAACGAUUGUAAUAUAUAAUGUGUUAAAAGUAAUGUAUUAUAGAUAUCUUGUAAUUAUUUAAAGGGUUUUGUGCAAAAAAAAAAACCACUAACUCAUACAUUUUUCCAAUUUACUAUCCAGCUCUAAUAAAUGCACAUUAAUCCUAUGAAUCUAAAAUAAUACGCAUUGUAACCCUUUUUGACCAUUUUUUGCUACCAUCAAUUUUGUAAAAUAUUGAUAUAUAAUAUGUUAAAUCAAAGCUCUCGCGACCAAGAGUUCAACUCUACCUUUAAAAAUUUUAAAAUGUAAUGUAUGUAACCGUAAAAACGCUUGUAAUAUGCAUAUGAAAUUUAUAUUACAUAUUAUGUUAAACUUCAUAAGAUUAAUCUGCAUUUGUUGGUAGUGCAUUUGUUAGAGGUGGAAGGUAAUGUUGCAAAAAUAGAUGAGUUAAAAGAUUUCUUUUUGCACAAAACCCUUUAUUUAAACUACUAACAAUAUAAUAUAUAAAUAAUUUAAAACAUAUAUCUCUAUAAUUCAUGAAGUAAUAAUGGUGUACCCUAUCCUUACCAACGAAUAAUAAAGAAAUGAUAUUAACUCUGAUUCAAAAGCUAUAUAUAAGAUAUUCUUUUUUUUUCCUCGGGAGGGAUACGAAUCCGGUAACAUGAAUCAGUGUCCAAUAAGAGCCAGUGGUCGUAAAUUCCAAAUGACAGAUGGAUGACUCAUUUUAAUUCGUAACUUUUGUCAGCUGCGAUAUAUGCUAAUGAAACCUGAGGUGCUAGAUUUUGAUUUUAAUGGCUUUAGAUUCUUACUCAACACUCAAUGGCCCACUCGUUAAUCUCUUACCUUCUAAAGUGAGUUAUGAUCCACUGCUUCUUUCUUCUUGUAGAUAGAUGGACCUGUUUUUUUUAGGUUGUGAUUUGUGGACAUUAAUCAACAACCCAUGUUUAUACGUGAUAAUGUCUGGAGCUAUAUGUAAAGGCGAUAUGGAGGACAACAUUCCUCUAUUCUAACUUUAAAAGCCAUGUAGUUAGGGCUGGACACCAAUAUUCUUUUUUUUUUUGCUAAAUUGUAAAUAUCAUUUUGAUGAAAAAUCAGGUUUUACAACAGUUGUAUAACCUAAAACAUUUGAACUCUUUGGCAAAAAAGAAUAAAAAAACGAAGAGCCAAUCGAGAGCUGCAUAGAACUCGGUAGUUUCAUAGCAGCCACAACGCUAUUAACUUGCGAAAAAGGAGUCUGUUUCUUCUUGAGGUGAUAACGUUUUUGAUUUUGCGGUUGAUGCACUUGAAUAUAGAAUGCGGAGAGAGGGAAGUAGCGUUGUGCAGGACAUUGUUAGGCUGCUUCAAGAUGUGGAAGACCUUAGACUGAACGACAAUAAUUUUAAGAACUGAUGAAGCCAAUAUUCAUCAUUUUCAAACAAAAAAUAUCUUUUGUUUGACACCAAUAUCCUUGACCAGCUUCAAACAAAGGAUAUACAUCAUUUUUAAGUCGGGUAAGGCAAAUGAGUAUAAGGAUUCUCAUUACACAUCUGGUUGCCAAAAACUUUUAGUCAAAUACUAGUUACAAUCUCAGUUUUUUACCCCAAACUUUUUGCCACUUAAAAAACUAGGGGUGGGCAUUCGGGUAAGCGGGUCGGGUUCGGGUUCGGGUAAAACCCGAUCAGGUAUAAAGAAGUUUAGGAUCUAAUAGGGUAAAUCUAAAAUAUCGGUUCGGUUUCGAUUCGGGUCCAACCGGGUUCGGAUAUAGAUUUGUGGCCUUUUUUUAUCCAGAUUUUUCGGGUAAAAUUUUGGAUUUCGGAUAAAAUUUAGAUUUUUGAAUAAAAUAUUUGGGUAUUUUCGGGUUCGAGUUUGUUUUUUCGGGUAGAGAAAUUUAGGAUCCAGUAAAGUACAUCUUCGGAUUUGGAUUAAGUUUCAGCUCUAAUUUUUCGAGUUAGUUUCGGUUCGGAUAAUCGGUUCUGGUUUUUUGGCCCGGCUCUAUAGAAAACCAUCAAUAAAUAUUUUAAUCCUAUUUCUGCCUCAUUACUCGAGAAAAUAUUCGACCCGUUUUAUUACUUGAUAAAUUUACAACUAUAUAUUUAUGUAAUCUAUUUCAUAUUAGUAAAAUAUAUUAAAUUUGUUAUUAAAACCAAAUAUCUUUUGAGAUUAGGGCAAUCAAAAGUUAAGGUCAAGCAAAUGUCUCCUUUCUAAAUGUUUUUGUGGGUAACGGUAAAGGACAAAUAUACAGCCCAUGCCCAGACCUACAAGUAGCGACUCCAUUACUACACAGUAAGAUUUUUAUUAAUAAAAAUGUGCAUGGUUUCAUUUAAAAGUCAUUGCUAACACUUCACUUUACAGUAAUAUUCAAUUUCAUACCUUUAAACGUUAAUCAGAAUCGCCAAUUGGAAGCCAGUCACUGGAAUCACCUUCCGAAUCCUUGCUAUGUCCAACUUGGCUCUUGCUGAGCUGAACCCAGCUUGACCCGCUUGCGUUUGAUGCUGGUCUUUUCAGUGUACUCCUGUUGGGACUUGGCUUCUCCGAGAGAUCAUCGACAUCUAAAUCACUAAAGGAGAUUACCUCUUCAUCUCUGAAACUCCUCCGUUGUUCUUCAGAUGACUCAUCACUUAUCUCCCUUUGCUCAAUUUUUAGAGUCUCUAUCUUGUCAAUGACUCCCUCAACGGUUUCUGUUUCCCUACUGCUACCUUCUUCAGGAGUUUCGUGACCAGUAGUGCUCUUGCUUGACCCUGUCUCUUUCUUUUGCAGCUUUAGUAAAAGUUGAUCCCUUGUUUCAAAUACCUGUGCCGCACAAUAUAGUUAUUAAAGUUUCAGAAAUAGGUACAAUAGUAACUUGGGAAAAAAUGCAGAGCAUAAAAGAUAUAAAACAAUCCAAUUUUAAAAGCAUCAGGCAAAAAUACAUUUUUUCCUGAGGCUAUACUUGUUCUUAUUGCAAUCGGUUGAAGGGGUCAUUAUAGCAUAAACGUUUACGAUUUUAAUAAUAUUGGAUCAAUACUGACAUUUCAGAAGAAUGUAUUUCCAGUAUACAGUCUUACCUUGCAUGUUGCUAAGAGUUCAAAAUCAUGCCCAUUCAGUCUCGGCAUCAGCAAAAUAAAAUAAAUCAGCCAGAAGUGUUCAUCAUCCAUGUAACUACUAACUUGAUUCUUCACAGCUACAAGGCCAGGAACCAAAUCUUCAAUGGCUGAUGCAUGUGCCCUUUGAGCCUCAGACAGUUCAAAUUCUGCAAUGUGGACAUGAAAAGUUGGAGAAAAACUUCAGCAUAAUUCAGUAGGUAAAAUUGAUGUAAACCACCAAUGCUUUUUAUCAGGAAGUGUUUCGACAACAUUUUCAAGCAAACCAAGCCUAUAUACAAAAGGUUGUACAGGAUGACGAUAUGCUUCGCAAUAAAAUAAAUAAAAAGAUUUAAGUGGCAUAUGGAUUGAACUAUAUAUAUAUAUAUAUAUAUAUAUAUAUAUCCCAAGAAGAGACUGCAGACCCCGUCAAGUUUAUUCGUAAUUCCUGGAGAUCUAUCUAAAGAACAGGGACUUCAAAAAAAAAAAUUAACUGCAGAAACAAUCAAUCUUGUCCAAACAGGUCUAGAAUAAAACACAUCAAGAGUUAAAGACUGAAGCAUAAUCAUCUUUGGCGACUGAAAACAAGUCAACUAUAUUUCCAAGAACAAUCAUGUUUAUUCCUGCAUGGCUGCAAGUUCGUCGACAAUAUCUUCAAGGUAUGAAAAAUGUGAUCUACAGAGAGUAAUGGGACCCCGAGAUCCUAAAGACCUGAGCUUGAAGAAAUAUAUCCCAAGAGGAGAUGGCAGGACCGGUCUAACCUAAUCUAAAAUACUAGGAAAUCUCUCUAAAGAACACCAGAGGCUACAAGCAAUCAACUGUACAAACAAAAAAAAUAUUUUCCUAAUAAAUCACAGUAAGAAAAUCAUAACUAAACAUAGAUAGUUAGAAACCACCAAUGCGGUGCUUCGACUAUACUUUCAAACUAACAAAGCCUAUAUACUGGGAACAAAAAUAUGCUUGAAGAAAUAUGUCCAAAUAAGCUUAAUCUGUAACCCUAGUGAUCCCACUAGAAAGCCAAUCAACUGUAGAAGCAAUCAAUCUUUUCCAAAUAAAACCUAUUUUAGUAACAAUUAUGUUUGCCUACUGGGAAAAAAAAAAGUCAAUGCAGAGCUUAAGACUAUUGAGAAUCAAGCUUUAUGAUUCCUCUAUUGACUAUACAGGAGCAUUACCAGUAUCGAGUGACAAUGGAAAAUCUGUCCAACAACCAGGUUUCGUCGAGAUUUUAACAGCGAAAUCGACUACUUCUUCAGAGAUUCCAGGAACUUGAUCGUUCAACGGAGAUCUUCUACUACUUUCUCUAUCUCUUAGAUUACUAGGAAAUUGGAGUAAAUUAGAUGCGAAAUUGGAGAAAUUUCCACGAAUCUCGGCUAGAUCGUUGCGGAUCCCGAGAAGACCUAGCUGAGUUGGUGAAUUAUCAGAGGAGAGUCGGCGUUCGUUUACAGGUGGAGAAGGAGGCGGUGCCAGGAAAGCUGCGACGCCACGGAGUAAGGAAGAUAAAUCUUCUUUGACACCGCCAUGAGUUGUGGAAGGAUCGGGAUCGGGAUCGUGAUCGUCAUCGCCGCGAGAUUUGAAGAG